UUUCAUCUUCUCGGGUCCAGUCCUGCCACAUGGAGCUACCCCUUGGGAUUCUAACCAGGAUGGCACUCCUCUCCCUUCUCAGGGCCUAAAGCUGAGGACCAGGUGAUGGGCCAUUUAGAAGGUACAUACCACAUUUUGUUUAUCUACUCAUCCAGUGAGGGACCCUCAGGCUAUGUGCAUCUUUAAGCCAUCAUGAGUAAUGCUGAUAUGAAGCCCCCAAGACCUUUCUGGAGGAGAGACGACGACGGGUUCUGAAGAAGGCCCCGUCUUCCCGAGCUUUCUACACCUGCGCGGGGGAGAGGUGCGGGCGUUGUUGGCCUGUGUGAUGGUUU
Prionailurus viverrinus (fishing cat) is the source of this 332-nucleotide long non-coding RNA. RefSeq lists it as uncharacterized. The record is from RefSeq and is a predicted model, not a curated record. Lineage: Eukaryota; Metazoa; Chordata; Mammalia; Carnivora; Felidae. The transcript is spliced from 3 exons.